GUGAAUCAUCAAAUUUUUGAACGCAAAUUGCACUCUCCUCGGAGAGUAUGCCUGUUUGAGGGUCAGCCUAUAAAAAAUCGACAUCGUUGCUGUUUCGCGGUGACGUUCGUCGGAAAUUGGGUCAUCUUAAAUCCUUUUGGUUUUAAGCGACUUAAAAUUCUCUUUUUGGUCCAUGAAACUUUUUUAGGUUUUUUUCCCUUACCCGUUA
This 208-nucleotide unclassified non-coding RNA is filed under the name Glomeraceae sp. RNAcentral describes it as "partial contains 5.8S ribosomal RNA and internal transcribed spacer 2". The stretch from base 1 to 65 matches the Rfam family "5.8S ribosomal RNA", at positions 84 to 154 of the family's 154-position model. The record is from RNAcentral. Lineage: Eukaryota; Fungi; Glomeromycota; Glomeromycetes; Glomerales; Glomeraceae.